Molecule: ribosomal RNA, 253 nt
Filed under: uncultured bacterium
Lineage: Bacteria
Description: partial 16S ribosomal RNA
Rfam family: Bacterial small subunit ribosomal RNA
Source: RNAcentral
GACAGAGGGUGCAAACGUUGCUCGGAAUUACUGGGCGUAAAGCGCGUGUAGGCGGACUGGUGUGUCGGAUGUGAAAUCCCCAGGCUCAACCUGGGAACUGCAUUCGAAACUGCCAGCCUUGAGUGGUGGAGAGGGAAGUGGAAUUCCUGGUGUAGAGGUGAAAUUCGUAGAUAUCGGGAAGAACACCCGUGGCGAAGGCGGCUCUCUGGGACGGUACUGACGCUGAGACGCGAAAGCGUGGGGAGCGAACAGG